CCUACGGGACGCACCAGUGGGGAAUAUUGCACAAUGGGCGCAAGCCUGAUGCAGCCAUGCCGCGUGUAUGAAGAAGGCCUUCGGGUUGUAAAGUACUUUCAGCGGGGAGGAAGGCGUUGUGGUUAAUAACCGCAGCAAUUGACGUUACCCGCAGAAGAAGCACCGGCUAACUCCGUGCCAGCAGCCGCGGUAAUACGGAGGGUGCAAGCGUUAAUCGGAAUUACUGGGCGUAAAGCGCACGCAGGCGGUCUGUCAAGUCGGAUGUGAAAUUCCCGGGCUCAACCUGGGAACUGCAUUCGAAACUGGCAGGCUAGAGUCUUGUAGGGGGGGGUAGAAUUCCAGGUGUAGCGGUGAAAUGCGUAGAGAUCUGGAGGAAUACCGGUGGCGAAGGCGGCCCCCUGGACAAAGACUGACGCUCAGGUGCGAAAGCGUGGGGAGCUAACAGGAUUAGAUACCCGCGUAGUC
Molecule: ribosomal RNA, 465 nt
Filed under: uncultured bacterium
Lineage: Bacteria
Description: bacterial SSU rRNA
Rfam family: Bacterial small subunit ribosomal RNA
Source: RNAcentral